UCAACUCGUCUCACUGGGACCGCUUUAUACGUUGGUCGUCGCGCUCUGCGCGCGGGAAACCCGUUGGACGAAUAAACCGUCGGGCUGAUUUUUUAUAUAUAUUUUUUUUUUUAUCACGGGAGGGGAAAAGGGCUUCAGUCGGCAACUACCCGAAGCAUUUGUCCGCUAUCACAACUUUCUGGAUCCAAAGGCCAGCUUCACGUGGAUGAUUAUGCUGGAGCUGUUACCGAACCCUGUUAUGCACCUGGACGAAUUUUCGAAAAACCAGGGGUGGGGCGUGAAAAUCGAAUGGCCCCCAACAACGAUGUACCCACUAUGGACGCAUAAAUUACGACGAUAAACAUGUUAUUUAUAGGGGUAGGACAUAAAUUGCCUAUGCUAAUUUCUGCUGAUCAACGGGGGAAGCCGACAGAGAGAGAGGAGAGUGAGAGAGAAAGCGAGAGGAAGAGUGGAGGCCAGGGCUUUGCACAAACGCUUGGCGAUCGACACGGUGAACAUGGACUAUCGGGAACAACAGACCUAGGACCAUGCACUCCUAAAAAAAUCGUAAUUUUUGUAUCGAGGAAAAUGAAAAAAAAACAUUCGAGGGCCCCCACACGAUCUCGAAAAAUCUUGAUCCUCAUAACGCAAUUAUGAAAACUCGGGGAAAAUUGUUAUGCCAGUGCCAUCCACACUAGGUUUGGACUGCAGCCCAAUCCAAGUGUGUCAUGCCCCCGGUGAACCAACAGACAGUGGCCCAUGAGCCACCGGCUAUUUGUCCACCUCUGAUGCAAUCAACCUAACAAUUUACUGGUGCACUCUUUGGUCGAUUGAAUUCACUCAGAAGAAUGAAAUCAACGAUCGAUUGUUCUAAGGUCAUUGGUAAAGACCGAGAAUUUUCGGAAUAUAGAUGUUUUGUCAGGGCAUUAAUAUUCUACGAGGCAAGAUACUCCGAGGAGUACACGAGACAGGAUUUCUCGCGCGUUCUCUUGGACCGAGAGUUACCCGAACAGUUGCCGGCUGGUACGGCUGAUGGAAUAAUGGUCCAUUUGGGAUGCACGUGCUGUCGCUGGAUUCACAUCCCUCCCUUUCCUCCAUCUCCCUCUCUCUCUCUCUCUCUCUGACUACCCCUGCCAUCGCCGCACUCAGGGCUUCAUCCACCCGUGGUAUUUACAUGUCAUUUUGUGCAAUUAAUAUUUAUGCCGCCCGUCACUCUCGUACGUGCACAAUGAUGACUAUAACCAGACACCGGCUUUCCCACUAUCUCUGAAAUGCACCGAUGUUAAAGUGCUCCAGUGAUCAUCUCUGAUUUGAUUAAACUGAAAAAGGACGGGGUAAAAUGGGAUGCACUAUGCCAGAUGUUGGGUGAAAAUGUUCGAUGAAAUUGUUGAAAGUUUUUACUGCGGAAAUGUGGAGAAAUUUAUUUUCUGGAAAAUCUCUAAUUUCAUUGAUAAAUCAUAAAGAGAUGGAAAAAUUGUCAUUUCUAUUGUCGUGUGACUGAUCUUUUUAGGGAUCUGUUUCUAAUUCAGAUAUCUGGGAUUGGAGAAUUUCUAAGAUUUUUUAACUUGAAGAAUUUUACCAAUUACUAAAGGCCAAACAUUUUAUUAGAAAUUUAUCUCGUGUCUUGGAAAAUGAGGCUUCCAAAUGUUUGAACACUUUCAAUUAUUAAUUUAUGAAUAAUAAAUGGUGGAAAAAAUAUUCUGCUUUAGGGACAAAUAGUGAUGCUCUUUGGAUAAUUUCAUGAUUGUUCUAAAUUUUUUUUACGUAAUUUAUGAUCUGCACUAAAUUGCAAAGGAUACUUGCACGUUCAUUAAAUUAGUUUAAUUCAUUUUAAAAGUCUUCGCUAUAUUUUAAUCAGCAACUGGGGAAUUAAAAAUCAUGAAAAUAUUGACGAAAAGCGAGCUGAGAGUUAAAAAAAUCCUUAAUCAUAGAUUCAUUAAUCACAAACGAGCGAAAUUCCACUCACAACGCAGCUAUGAAAAGUUAAUUGAAAGUUCCCAAUGGUUUUUUAAUUUCUCAAUUUCUCUUCUUCUUUCACAUUCAGUAAUGCUGAUAAAAGCGGCUUUUACCCCAAGCAAUUUUAUUUCUCACGUUGCAGUGCUCUCCAUGUUUAUCUUUCAUUUACGCCCAGCCCAAGGCUAAAAGAAAAUAAUUGACCCAGUCAACUUGCAAUAGUUUAAUGAGAAUUUUUUUUCAACCUCAUGGAGCAUACUUCGAUCGCGAUUAAUGUAAACUUAACUGAGGAACACGUUGAACAUGCGGUUCUAAAACAAACUUUUUCUUCACUGUUUUAAUUUUCUUCCUUUCAACAUUGUUCCACUUGAAAAUUUUUUUUCAAAUUUUCCACGACGAAGUCCAGAAGUGUUUAUUGCAUGAAAUUCCCAAUCAUUUUAACAUGAAGGAUUCAAGAUUCCGAAGAAAAAUCAAAGAAAACUGAAUUUCCUCCCCCUUUUCUCUGAAAAAAUGACAAAAAAACAGAAAACUCUAAUAUAUAAAUUUUUAAAUCUUCUUAAAUUAUUAUUUAAAGUAUUGAAAUCUCUCGAUAAGAUUUAUUUACACUGUCACUAUAAUGUUAAAUUCUUCCUUUUCAUUCGUUUCGAAAAAUUAAAAAGAAAGUAUAUCAGAUAUUAUCGAUUUUUAAACCUCGAGAAAUUAAAAUAUAUUAGAAGUACGGCGGAGUAGUUGUGGUUGGUUCUGUGUUGAGAAUGCUGCGGGAUUAUUUGUGGUCGAGUCGAGCCAAAAAUCGAUAUUCCGCGGUCUUUCAAAUGAGAUGCCCCCGGUAAGCCAGUAAAUUGUUGCUUUGAAGUUCCAGGAAAUUAAUUCUCGCUCAACACUUGGGUAACGGGGAUGACACACGAACAGGACUUUUUUCGUACGUCACAUUACACUCGCGUGAGAUUUUUUUUAUUGCAAAGAAACGUGGGACCAAAUUAACAAUAGAGGAAAGGAGAAGAUGAGGCAAUCGCACUUCUGCUCACCGACUAAUGACACCUUGAAUUAUUUUGAUAUUUAACGCACAACGAGAAAAAUAUGAUAUAAGAAGUCCCGUAAAAUAUAGUAGAAUUAAAAUUAAGUAAGAAAAUUUUAUCAUUUGUCAGUCUAUUACCGCACAUUUUGCACAAACUCUCAAAAUUGUAAUUUAGUUAAUAAAAAAUCUUCAAUUUUCCGAAUGACACUUCCAAUUGCAUAAUUAUCUCUCAUUUAUGGCGACAUUUUCAAUCAAUAAUCCACCAUAUCUAAAAUAGUUCGGUCAUUCACCCUUUCGUCUUCUACCUACAAUAAUAUCGACUUCCACUCGCUCAGUGCAAAUCCCCGAUGUUCCCACCCCCAAGGAGUCAUUCUUAUUUAACUUUCGAUGAGAAAAAAAAUCACCGUCUUGUUCGAAUAAAAUUUAAAUCGAAGUCGUGCAAUCAAACUCAACAUGCAAUAAAAACAUCAAUUAAUCAGAGACGAGAAAAGACUCGUCAGUGGUGGGUGAGUGCUACGCUUAACCCUCUUUAGACGUCAAAAAGUCUCCCUUUUCUCGCUGGGUUUUCCGGCGUCGGCCACAGGAGAAAAGCUGAAGAAGCAAAAGGGGUUCUCCAUCCACUCUUCAUUUUAAAUUCCACCAACGAUGGAAAACAAUCAUCGAUCAUUAGUAGAGAAGCGUACAUCAUUUCGCCUCUUGGUAUAAAAAUAAAAGAUACCUUUCAACUCGCUGGAUUAUUAGGAGAAUUGAAAUUCCUACUGCGCACACCUGAAUCAACUCAAUCCCCUCGCACCAAUAAUAAUUUGAUUUCACCGCUGAGUUUGAAAUUUUCUCGGGUGUAAUUAAAAUGCAGAUCGAGUCCUGCAAAUCACUCGAAAUUUUUUGGCCAAGGGGAUUCAACUCUCCCAAGUGGGGGUUAGAAGUUGGCGCAUUUUCUUUUCGUGAACACACAGACGAAUGAACAAACGAUCGUCUAAAAUAUAUUCUGCAUAAGAAAUGAGGGAGUAUAUUUCCAAGGGUCGAGCCAAGUUCUUAUCCAAAGAGAAAAAUAAUAUAAUAAUGUACUCUAGCUCUUCCUGUUUUCAUAUGCAAUUGGUAAUCCAAGAAUUACAGAAAAAAAAAUGGAUACUCUGCAGAGAUAGCGGAUAAAAUACAUGGAAAUAAGGAGAAAACAUCAGGGUUGAGAAUUUAUACUUGCGUUCUAUGCGCCUCGUUUAUCACUUAGUCUACCAGCUGGUGAGGUGAAAACCAACAAUAAUUAAUUUUCUUUUAAUUCACGAGAUUAAUGGAUCGCUCGGGAAUUUACGAUGGAAGAGAGCCGAUCAAUCCGUCAGAAUAUGAGUUUAGCCUCGAUUUUAUCAUUUAACGAGGACUGCGGAGAGUCUACUCAUCUUAUCUACAAAAUUUGAAUAUAUCGUCGGCUGUCACCAAAGACACCGAACAACAGCCCACGAUUCUACCGCUCUCAGAAUACUCAACUAAAUAAAUCUCCACAGACACAAAUUUUUUUAUAAAAUUUUUCUCCCUCUUCUCUAAAAGUAAAUCAUCACUCACCGUUUCUCUAUUUCUAUUUCAACCACUCAAAUUCCCGGCUGAUUCCAUAAUGCCUCAGCGACCUGUGUCUCCCAUAAUUCUCAAAAGCUUUCACUCCAUAAAAAAUCUGUUCUCCUGCGCUGUCACCUGUAAUUCAUCACAUCACCGACAUCAACAUUCCUCACCGCACGAUUCUGCGCAUCAAAACCUUCUCAUCUCCCUGCAAUUACCACAUCCCAAAGAUUCACCCCUAAACCUAUUAAAAUCAUAAAAAAAAAUCUCUGAAAUAAACUUUCACAAUCCACCACUCAAACAACUUUUUCCCACUACCUCCCCUGUAAAAAUAAAAAAAAAAAUCUUCAUAUUUAGUAUUUCGCUGAGGCUCCGUAUCUGCUUCCGAAAUGAAGUGUUGAAGAGCUAUGCCAACAGAAAUCCGAGCGGGGAAAGUAAAAACGCCUUUGAAUUCAUGAAAAGGCAUGAAAAAAAAAGUACAAAGCCACGCCGCCGGGCUAAUUUGUCUGAAUGAACGUGGAACGCCUGUGCUAUAUGGCAACAGGGAACUGCCAGCACAGGGAGGUGGGGGGGAUGGGAAGGAGGAGAGGUAUCAGGAGACAACCGGAAGAAGAGAGAAGCGUAAAAUGUUCGUAGACAGGUAGAGGAGCUGCAGGGAAUUUCAGCCUAAUUCUGGAUAAACACCCUUUCAUUAUUUCCGGUAGACAAUCCUUUGUUCUCCUUUGUUUCGGCUUACCCACUCGUCUUUACCUACUUCCCCCCCCCCCCCUCGCCCCGGCCAACUGCCAUAUCCACUCCAGACACCCUAUAACAUUUAAUCCAACCCCGUUGCCUUCACCAGUGUCACAGUUGAGUGAAAAAAAAAAUCAAUUUACCUAUUGAUGAAAUGAAGCUGAGUAUUUUGCACAAGUGAAUAAUCAAUGCAAGAGAAAUUAUCGGAAGCUCUAUCGGAUGAUGAGGGAUGAGGAUGAGAGUAGGAGGGUGGAGCAGCCGGUUUGGCACAACUAUGAGGUACUAUGUAUGGGGAAGGACAGCCGGAUGAUACUCGGCAAUGUCCAAUCUCGUUGUAUCGAUGUUUGCAUGUAAUUCGAUGGAUAAUGAUGACACAUUGGAUUCCCGCUUUCCUUGCUAAUGAAUCAAACCAAUUCUGAAAUGUGCGUCAAUGUAUACACAUUCGCUGGUGAUUUUGUUAUCGUUGGGAUAUUCAUGAUUUUGGAAAUACGGUUGCAGGGUAGGUCUGCAUUUAAUGUCAAUUGAUCUGUUUGAAUUGAGAAAUCUGGGAGGAUUCAAUUGAUAUCGACCUUGGGAGAGGUUAAGGGGGAUGCACUGGUUGAAAAUCAGGGGGUGAAGGGGAAUGGGAAAAUGCCGGAGGGUAUGUAAGGAGGUUUUUAGGUUUAGUGGUGGGUGGAGAAAUAUACGAGGAGGGAAAAGUGAAAAAUUACUUUGCCGGGUACUAGAAUUGAGGUGCAAUGGAAUGUGUUUUAUUCACACAUAGGAAUUCCUGUCAAUACCGUCAAUUUUGUAAUGAAUUUUGUAAUUAAUAAUAUGUGCCUGCGUAAAAUUUACUAAACACCACUAUAAAAUUUGAAGGUCUACCAUUUUUUAUUUGAGUUUAAAUGAAAAAUUAAUAAAAAUCUUUCAAACAUUCCUGUCUAGAGCAGUUUAUUUUAUUGGGCCUUUCUGCAUUUUUUACUGUGCAGCAAUUUUUCCGUAACUCAUUGUAAUUGGUUAACGAUGAGCUCCGAAUAUAACCGA
Diachasmimorpha longicaudata is the source of this 6247-nucleotide long non-coding RNA. RefSeq lists it as uncharacterized. The transcript has 3 exons. The record is from RefSeq and is a predicted model, not a curated record. NCBI's taxonomy places the organism in Eukaryota, Metazoa, Arthropoda, Insecta, Hymenoptera, Braconidae.